This 1303-nucleotide long non-coding RNA is filed under the name Homo sapiens (human). Its description in RNAcentral is "HSALNT0027323". Lineage: Eukaryota; Metazoa; Chordata; Mammalia; Primates; Hominidae. The record is from RNAcentral.
GGAGCACCUCCCCACCUUGGCUCCCUUCUCCUGCGGGUGCCUCCCGGUCCCUCCUCCCCUGCCCGAGGUCUGAAGGUGGGAAUCUCCAACGCCCCUCUUUUACCAGGGAAGGAUUUGGCUCCUCUAGUCACAGGUGCAGGUGCAGAACCCACCUAUUCAAACGGUCUAGAGACAGAGUGUGGGGCUGCGGCCCAGCCCUUGUUGAAAAUUUACAUCACUUGCAAAGCUCCAUUGUGAAAUACCGAAACAUCGAUGUGGAAGAAAGGAAGACAAAGCCCAGACUCUGAAUCAACUGAUGUGUGACUCCUUCAAUGGACGGAGGCCAGAAGGCAAGAAGACUCUGGAUAAGCAUGGGGAACACUGGCUCCUGGUCAGAGCCGCCCUGGGCAGAGGGCACAUCCAGUUGAUGAGGAUACCGCAGGGGGGCUGGGAGCCCAUGGGGCAGCAGCCGUGAGGGGCACGGACGCCUAGAAAGGUCGAUGGCUGCAGUGACCUAGCUGGUCCCCAGGGCACUGAGAUUCAUCUGAACAGCAGGUCCCAGUCAGUUGCUGACCAGGGGCCCGAAUCCUGGGCAUCCGCUCUGGGCACACCUCCUUGGCAUAUGUGGGGCAUCUUAUUUACCCAAAGCAGGUGUGUUCAUUUAGGACCACCUGCAUGUUCACAGGAGCACUCCCUGCAGGUGGCCUUUGGUAUUUCACCUGGAUAUCCGUCUGCUUGAGCUGCUGUAACCAAAUACCACAGACAGGCUGGGUGGCUUCAGCAACCGAGAUCUAUUUCUCACCAUUCUGGAGGCUGGAAGUCUGAGGUUGAGAUGCCGGUGGCUUCUGUUUCUGAUGAGGGCCCAUUUCCCGGCCUGCAGACGGCCACCUUCUCACUGUGUCCUCACAUGACAGAGAGGGACAGCCUGAGUCUCUCUUCCUCUUCUUAGAAGGACACUAGUCCCCUCGUGGGGGCCCCACCCUCAUGACUGCCCCUAAACCUAAUCACCCCCCAAAGGCCCCAUCUCCAAACAUCAUCACACUGGGGAUCAGGGCUUCCACAUGAACCCUGGGAGGCAGAGGCGGGCUCUGUGUUUUAGCCAGCCCCUGGGGGGCAGAAGAGGAGACCCUGACAGUGUGGACUCCCUGGGGUGGGAAGGAGUGGGCUGAGGACGGUGAAUGUAGACGGACUUCUGGGAAGUCUCUAAGAGAAAAGAAAGUGAGAGAUUGAUGGGGGUGGGCGCCGUGGGAUCAGGGGAAGGGUUUUGGGGUUUUGGUCUCAUAUUUGUUUUGAGGCAGGGAUGUGCGAGCUAGGCCUGGGGAGA